This 440-nucleotide ribosomal RNA is filed under the name uncultured bacterium. Its description in RNAcentral is "partial 16S ribosomal RNA". It matches the Rfam family "Bacterial small subunit ribosomal RNA", at positions 338 to 795 of the family's 1533-position model. The record is from RNAcentral.
CCUACGGGAUGCUGCAGUAGGGAAUAUUGCUCAAUGGGGGAAACCCUGAAGCAGCAACGCCGCGUGGAGGAUGAAGGUUUUCGGAUUGUAAACUCCUGUUGUUAGAGAAGAUAAUGACGGUAUCUAACUAAUCACCACCGGCUAACACCGUGCCAGCAGCCGCGGUCAUACGGCGGGUGCAAGCGUUACUCGGAAUCACUGGGCGUAAAGAGCGCGGAGGCGGGUUUGCAAGUCAGAUGUGAAAUCCUAUGGCUUAACCAUAGAACUGCAUUUGAAACUGUUAUACUAGAGUAUGGGAGAGGUAGGUGGAAUUCUUGGUGUAGGGGUAAAAUCCGUAGAGAUCAAGAGGAAUACUCAUUGCGAAGGCGACCUGCUAGACCAUAACUGACGCUGAUGCGCGAAAGCGUGGGGAGCAAACAGGAUUAGAUACCCCUGUAGUC